Miniopterus natalensis is the source of this 3981-nucleotide long non-coding RNA. RefSeq lists it as uncharacterized. Lineage: Eukaryota; Metazoa; Chordata; Mammalia; Chiroptera; Miniopteridae. The record is from RefSeq and is a predicted model, not a curated record.
CUCGUUCAGGUUCUAGGCUUCCUUUCUAGCAGGAGGGCGGGGGGUGCAGGAAGUGAACUUUAAACACAAGUAAAUAAUUUAUGUAGAAUAUUAGAAGGACAAGAGUGCUAGGAGAUACAAGGAAAGUCAGGCAAGAAAAGGAGAUGGAGUAUGGGGGAGGGGGUGCCUACAACCCCACCCCCUUGCCUUAAAAGUUCUCCAUAGCACUGGCGAUCAUCUAACUAUAUCUCUCACUCAUUUAUCUCUUUAGCGUCUGUCUCUCUCCCUCCACUCAGAUGGAUGCUCCAUGGGUCAGGAGUUUUGCCUGUUUGGUUCACAGCUGUUCUCAUACUAUAAAUUCCAUGAGGGCAGGACCCGCAUCUGACUUGACUCACUCUGGUAUCUCUUGGUGUCUGGGGAGGGGCCUGACACAUAAUGAAGAAUGAAGAUUAAAUGAAUGAAGAAAUGGCCAUUCACCUUCCUCAGGCUCUCUGGGUGAGCUCAGAAAGCACCCCUAGAACCAUGGAAAUAAGGGAGCUGAACCAGACCUAUGGUUGCCAAGCUGGGUCUGUGAAAGCAGCUGUGUGGAUCCUAUUUUCAAGAAUUUAAAGUCCAAUAAAGUCAGCACCCCCUCCCCUCCCCACUGGAUGGCCUGCACAAGAUCACCAAGAUAGCAGCCCCGUUGGUUUGACCCAGAGUCAUAACAUCUGUCAGGGACUGAGGUUGGCUGUUAGUGACAUCACAGACCUCAACCCCAGUUCCAGAUUAUGUGGCCAGUACUUCCAGUACCCACAUUGCACUCCACGGGCCUGUGAAGGUCAUUGCCACCCUGCAAAUGUGAGCUGUGUCUGACAAAAUACAGAGUGGGGCAAAAGUAGUUUUACAGUUAUGAGUUUGUGAAACAUAGUUUAUUACUGUCUUAUUAUUUAUUAAUCAUUGUACUAUUUUCCACUUAAACAACUAUAAACCUACUUUUGCCCACCCUGCUAGAAGCUGAGAGACCACAUGUAGGGACCCAGUAGUUCCAGUCAUCCCAGAUGAGGCCAAUUUAACCAGCCAAUCCCAGGGAUUCUACCAAUUGACAGCAGACAAGUGGGCCAAGCCCUCCCCAGACCAGCAGGAUCGCACAGCUGAUCCCAACUGAAACUGCUGACCCCCCCAAAUCAUGAGCUGUUGCAUUGAAGUGGCUGUUGCAUUGAAUGACUGAGUUGUGGGAUGUUUUUUGCAUAGCAAAAGUACCUGAUACAGAGGUGAAGUCAUGGCCCACGUCACACAGCAGGGCUGGGACUCAAACCCAACCUUUCUGGCCACAGAGCACAUGUUCUUAACCACUGACACUUUAGUGCUUGCAAAGUACAUUUAUUUUCAUUGCAAGCCCUUAGUGAGUCCAUGAAUCAGUCCAAACAGAAGCUCAGAGAUGUCAAGGAACCUACCUAAGGUCACACAGCUAGUCAGAGCUGGAAGAGGCCAUCCAGCCCAGUUCUUCUGAUUUCACAUUCAUGCUGUUCCCACUGCUCCAUGAAGGCUGGAACAGCCAGAGCCUGGGGCACUGGUUUAUGAAGAGGUCUCUAAGGUCCUCCACAUGACUCCUUAUAUUUCAUGAAAGGACUGAUUUUCUCCCUCCCACCAUGAAAUUUUCAGACAGAACAGGUGGCUCCUCAGCCAGGGAGCUAUGACUGCUGAACUGACCCUGCCUGCUCCCCGAUCCUCCCCUCACUGCCCAGUAGGAGCUGUCGGUUGUCUUGGAUACAGCAGGUGAUGGGAAAGGAUGGUGGCUGAGGUCACAGCGGGAACUGGGCAGGCCGUGGACAGGGAGAAAUGGCUUCCCAGACAGACUCAUGCCCUUUCACCCACCCUGGAAUGAAAGAGGAGGACAUGGCUGGUCUGGCCAGGCCAAGCCAGCAUCAGAGCCCUGAGGUCUCCAUAAGAUCCCCGGGAGGAAGAAGAAUGGGCUUAGAGCAGGGGGAAGGCAAGUCAAUCACUCAGGCCCUUCAGGUAUGAUCAUAAGGCAGUGGGGGUGGAAUGCCAGGCACCCAUCUGGAGUGCCAGGGGUGGAAAUGGCCACUGGCAGGGCCAGCUGAAGCCCUGCCCUGACUGGGCAUCUGCAGAGCCAGGCUCUAGAGAUGUCUGCUUCCCAGAGGUGGGAGUGAAGAGGCUGCUCUCUAUCCCACCAAAAAGUGAAAUAAACAUGGAAGGGACAGCUGCAGCAUGGGGGAAAGAUGCCUGGAAGUCAUUCAGAUCUGAAUCCCACACGCUCUGCCUCCUAGGAGUGGGACUUUGGGCUGGUUUCUUCAUCUUCGAGCCUCAGUUUCUUAUCUGAGAAAUAGGGGGAACCGUCAUGUAUCUCAGAGGUGGCUGUGAGGCCUGAAUGAGAACGUGCUGAGAGAGCUUCUUGUAAACCACAAAUGUCAUGCAGGCUGAGGUGACGAGGGGACACUGUCUAUCUGGUGCCUCCAGCCCCAGAGCUCCUCCAAGUCCUGGAUGAAACCCCAUAAACUCCAUUCCUCAAAACACCCAUUAGAAACCACUUGGCCUAAGUGGGGAAAUUAAGAGCCAGAGAGAAGGGCUCUGCCUAGAUUCCAAUGGGCAGCGAGUGCAGGCCUGGCCCUGGAGCUGGGUCUCCUGACUCAGGGUCUUUCUCUGCACUGUGUUUGCCACCCAAGUUCACCCUCCUGGGCCUUCGGGGAUGGAGGGGAGUAGGGUGCACUACUCCCUGCUCCCUUACUGGUUAAUCCACUCCCCCUUCCAAGUCAUCUGAGGCAGCCAGAUCACAUUGGGAGGCUGGGCCUCCCCUGGGAGGUGCUGUGAUCAUAUAUGUGUUAAAAGGAAUAGAAAGUCCUGGGCAGCCCCUGUGGGAGACAUCAGAGAUUGAAAAGUGUCCUGGGGCAGUCCUUGUGGGAGACAGCAGAGAUUGAAAAGCCCUUGGUCCCUCCAAUCGCAUCAACAACUGUCCUUGUCCUGAUGGGGGUCACUACUGGCUUUGCCAUACUCUGAAGGGACUCCCUCACUCUCACCAUGGCCAUCAGAAAAAUAGUAAAAUCUUUCAUGCUCUAGACAGAAUCCAAAGUCCGCCCUCUCGUUACCAGGCCUGGGAGGACCCUUGGUAACUUUCAGAGAGCUCAAAGGUGUGCUUCCCUCCUGCGGGGCGAGCCAGGCUCCGCAGCCCCUUCAGUCUGAGCAUGCAGAGCCCACCCAGCCCUCUGCUCCCAGUGGAGAAGAGCGGAGGGGUCAGGCUGGCUCAAAGUAUAAAAGGAUAAAUACAAAGGAAAGUAAGUCUUUCCUUUUCCAAUCUGGGCUCCCUCCCCAGAGGGCAGGCCCCGCUCCCAGGCUCUAGUGAUCUAGUGACCCAGGGAUAGACUGCACCUUUAUAAGCAAAAAUAAAUGCAAAAAUGUAUUUAUGCAUCUUCCUCGGUCACAUAAAUAGCAGCAUCCUAUACACAUUGUUCUGGACCUUGCUUUCUUUACCCAGUAGCCUGUCUUGGUGACCUUCCCUCAUCAGGAUAUGGAGAGCUGCUUCUUUCUUCUUCGUGGCUACAUAGUAUUCCACCCCCUGGCUAGUCCAUCUUUUAGUUGCCAGCCUGCUAGUCACGGGCUCUUCUACCGUUUCCCAUCAAGCUAUCAGAGCGCUGCAAUAAACCGUAGGAUGAAUUCAAGAAGCUGAACCUCUAGGUAAACGAAUAUGUGUGUUUAUAAUUUUAUAGGUAAUGUCAAAAUGCCCUCCCUAGAGGUAAAACCAGAUUGUAUGAGAGACCUAUUUUCGCCACACCAAUUGCAAUUCAGUAUAUUGUAUUUUUUUACCUUAUUCAGUCUGAUGGAUGAAAAUACUAUCUGCUUGCCUUUAAUUUGCAUUUUUCUUAUUAAGGGAGAUGAGCAGCUCUGCAUAUGUUGAAGAGUCAUUUGUAGCUCCUUCGCCGAAACUUUCCCCACCUUUCUUAUGGUUUGGGUUUUUUUUCUUAUCUUAUUUGUAGAAGGGCUUCACAUAUUAAAGAACUUUCUCAUUUA